GGGUGGACUCCUGGAGGGGAUUAGCGACAUCAAUAUUAAGGGCCUUCAAUCGACGAACGGAGGCAGCCACAUAAAAUACUUUUUGGCUCUCAUAAUCGGGGAACUCAUCACACAACACCAUUAUUCAUCACACAUCUCCCGCGAUCACCGAUUCGAUCAUGAACUCAAUCUCACAUCAAGCUUUUGAAGAUCGUACGGGUAUCAUGAGCGGCUAAAUCUCUCGUGGACACUUCGGGUGAAUGAUUCCUGUGUUUAAGAUGCUUAGCUGCUAGGAAGGCGAAGCUAGAAUAAGAGUCUAGAGCAUAGUUGUCUGUAGAUCUUGCAGGACGAGUCUCUAGACAUAGAUAAACAAUAUUUAUUUUUAUAUUUGAAUCUGAGUUGUCGGAAUGGAAUAAUUGACUAGAUGUUAUCUGUAAUAAUUUGUUUUACUAUUUGGGAUACG
This 442-nucleotide long non-coding RNA is filed under the name Helianthus annuus (common sunflower). Lineage: Eukaryota; Viridiplantae; Streptophyta; Magnoliopsida; Asterales; Asteraceae. The record is from RNAcentral.